GGAUGUGAGGGCGAUCUGGCCGCGACAUCUGUCACUGCAUUGAUCGCCAAGGUUGAUUCGGCUGAUCUGACUGGCUAGGUGGGUGUCCCCUUCCCCUCUCACUGCUCCAUGUAUGUCCCUUCUGAAGCUGCAUGCUCCGUUGAAGAGAAGGACCAGUCCUGCUGGAGGAAGACCGUUCUUCCAUCAAGGGCAUACAAGUAACUGCACUUCCUUGUUAAAGCUUCCAAGCUAGCUUGGUUUGUUUGUAGGAGAACGUAGGGUAGUCAAGCUUCCAAGACUCCUGACACAAUGAAGUGAGGCGCUGCCUUCUGUCUU
Molecule: small nuclear RNA, 315 nt
Filed under: Carlito syrichta (Philippine tarsier)
Lineage: Eukaryota; Metazoa; Chordata; Mammalia; Primates; Tarsiidae
Description: 7SK RNA (ENSTSYG00000028234.1)
Rfam family: 7SK RNA
About the family: 7SK was discovered as an abundant small nuclear RNA in the mid-70s but a possible function has only recently been suggested.
Source: RNAcentral